UCCACCUCCCUGCAACUUUUGGGUUAUUAUUUUCAUCUCAUUUAAAAUAGCACAGAGUCGGAGACAAGAUGGCGUGGCAGUUCUCUGGAGAUUUAAUCGCUAAUGACCUCAUCUUCAAAUGGUCAGUGAUAAUAAACAAGAAGACGGGAUUUCCAAGGGGGCAGAGCAUUAAUAAGAAUGUUAUCAUUCCAAACAUACAGUGCUGCCAUCCCUGAGGAAAGAUGCUUUCUAUUUGAGGACCACCAGCUCUGCAUGUUGAUUUGAAAAAAGAUAAAAGAGCAUCUGGCCACCAUAGCACAGGCUGCACAUUCCCUCCCUCUUCAUUAUGCAGGGAGCUGAUGCGAUUUUUGCUUCUUUUCCAUUUAUACAAAUAAAGACAACGAUUUGGGAAAUAUGUCAUGCUGGCAUUAAACACCACCAAUCUUGCUGGGUUGAAACGUACAUGUUCCAUUAACAACAAUUAUAUUGUAUAAUUAAAGUUUUGGUCCCCAA
This 492-nucleotide long non-coding RNA is filed under the name Fukomys damarensis (Damara mole-rat). RNAcentral's name for it is "lncRNA (ENSFDAG00000029024.1)". Lineage: Eukaryota; Metazoa; Chordata; Mammalia; Rodentia; Bathyergidae. The record is from RNAcentral.